Perca fluviatilis (European perch) is the source of this 3030-nucleotide RNA transcript. It is a transcript of the gene named microcephalin 1, with no coding region annotated. The record is from RefSeq and is a predicted model, not a curated record. Lineage: Eukaryota; Metazoa; Chordata; Actinopteri; Perciformes; Percidae. The transcript has 15 exons.
CCCAAUGAUGGCCCUUGUCCCAGAAUGCAUUGCAUCACAAACUGCACGCGCGAAUUAAACAACUGCAGUUAGGGAACUGCGCAAUUUAAAUCUCAUAGCCACAUAAAGUGAAUCUAAAGAGACUAGUAAUGACCACAAGCAACAAGUGUUCAGCUCUUCAAGAUGUUGUUGCCUAUGUUGAUGUGUGGUCAUCAGACAAAACGGCAAACUAUUCGAAACCAUUCGUUCAGCAGCUGCAGGAAAUGGGAGCCCAGGUAUCAAAAACUUUCAGUAAACAAGUCACACAUGUAGUCUUUAACAAUGGUCACCCGGCUACAUGGAGGAAUGCCAAGAAAAGUGGUGUGAGGCUCGUCUCUGUUCUCUGGGUAGGCAGAUGUUACGAUGACGGGGUGUGUGUGGAUGAAGACUUGUAUCCAGCCUUUAAUGAUGAAAGCAAUCCUUUGUUGAAGAACAAGAAACAUCGUUGCAUGCAGCCAAAAGAUUCUCCAGAGAGGACACCUGAAAACGACAGACGCAUGAGGAAAAAGUUGGACAAGUUGAUGAAAGACCUAGCUCCAAAACAACCCCUGGUUACAGAUGUGUCGCCCGUCUUUAUUGAUGAAGAGAAUGGAAUCGUCUAUAGCCCCGCGUUAAAAAGAUCAGAUUAUAUGGCACAGCGUUUGAAAGACAUGAAAGAGAAACGGGAAAACCUCUCACUUACAGCUUCUCAAAUGGUUGAAUCCUGCUCACCCACUGGGCUGAAGCCUUCUCUUGGGAGCACACCACCCGUCUUCAAAUUAAUGUAUGACCAGUCGGAUGAUGAAUCCAGUGCUUCUGUUGCUGCACCUGCUUACUCACCUGAUAAGGAAGAAGGGAGAACACAAGUUGAUGCUACUGACCAUGACCAUCUUGACAAACGCCACAGGAAAGGCUCCAAAAAGCCAUGGCUCUCACCCUGCCAUGAUGUUCCAAAAAGGAUUUCAAGCUCUGUGAAAUUUCCUGACUUAAACAACAAAGAGCACGAUGAAGGGAAUAGACAAAAAGAUUCAAUAGGGACCUCAGUCAGAAAAAAGCCAGCAGAGAAACACAAAUCUGUAGGUUUAUUAGAAAGACCUUGCAAGGAUAGGAGAUCUGACAACAGCAAAAACUUUCAUAAAGAAAAAAGGCGAUCACAAAUAAAAUCAUCUAGUCCAUCACCUAACAAAUCUGAAAAGGGAAUGCGAAAAAUGAAAGCAGUUAAAUCGUUUAUAGAGACUAAGACCCAGUUUUGUUCAGAAGCUGCAUCUGGUUGCCUCUCGUCACAAGCCAAUGCUGCAGUUGAACUGUCAAAAGAAACCGCGGCCCCACUGCAGAAAAUACCAAAACGAGCCAGAGCAUCCAUUUCUGCCUUGGUACGAUCUUUCACUCGAUCUGGUGACACUAAAAGUGUUGCCUCAGGAUCCACUGAUGGAGAUGAUGUGUUUGAGGACUUUUUCUCCCCAGCUAACCAUCACCAGACAUUACCUUUGUCUAAUCGACCCAUGAAGAGAGACAUUCAGAUUCCUUUUGAGUUAGACUCUGUCCCAAAGAAGAGAAAACAAAGGAGGAGUGAAAUCAUUGUAUCUGAAACUAACAGUAAAAAGAAGAGGAAACUGGGAACAAGUCAGCAGUCUGAUGCAAGCAGUGAGCCUCAAAGUCAUCCACAACAGGAUGUUAAAGAAUCUCUGCCUGCAUUGGAGAGUCCAAGUGGCGAUGUAACACUCGUGGUAAAAAGGCAAAGACAAAGCACCUUGCCAUUUACAAGCACCAGAACAACUACAAGUGGUACAGCGAAGCAGAGAAGAACAUCGGCAUCAGUACAACCGACAAUGUUCACUAACACAAUAUCGGUGCUGCAGAAAAACUCUGUCAAUGUCCCUUGUCAUACCUUGGAAAGUAGGGGAAAUGCACAUACAGCUGCAGCUGUUUUAACAGAGAUCCCCUCUGAAGGCGAAGAAGAAAAUCACAAUAAGCAAGUCAGCUUGAGUCUUCAGAACAUGGUUAACAAAACAAAGGCUAUGAGAACAUUGGUCAUGACAAGCAUGCCCACUGAGAAGCAGCACACAUUGGCUCAGGUGGUGACGGCAUUGGGUGGUUUUUCAAUUGUUGACCGAGUUUGUGAGAGCACAACUCAUGUGGUGUCUGGGGGUCAGCGGCGGACUCUCAAUAUUCUGUUGGGCAUAGCUCGUGGCUGCUGGAUCCUGUCUUUUGAAUGGAUCCUCUGGUGUCUGGAGCAAAGGCAGUGGAUUCCAGAGGAACCGUAUGAACUUUCAGACCAAUUUCCUGCAGCACAGUCAGUUUCUCUUCUUAGAUUUGUCGUCUCCAGAGGCACCUGUCUGCCGGGGAGCACCAGCAGGACCUGUUCCAAGGCCAGCCAGCCAUGUUUGUGUCCCAUCACUCCCAGCCACCCACUCAGAGUCUGGUGGAGCUGAUCCAGCUCUGUGGAGGAACAGUCUGCAAAACUGUGCGACAGGCUGGUAUCUGCAUCGGGAAGUACAGCGGCAGGAGACCAGAGGGAAGCAGGAUCCUGUCUGAGCAGUGGGUGCUGGUAUCACACAUUUGAAGCGGCUGUCAUAUGAUAACUACGACUUGAGUUGAAAUUGAUGUUGUGACUGUUCACAUACACUCAGUUUCUACCUUACAGUGUUUUCGCAGGUUUAUCGUCCUGCUUGUAUUCAGGGGCUUUACAUAAAUCCUCUGAAAUAUUCAGUUUUGAAAGACUUUAUUCCCUGGUUACCAUGGAAACAUGUUACCUCUGAGGACUAGCAAUCAUUCAACAGCACCCUAAGUUACUGUGAAACAUGGAAAACUGCUUUUACAUAGUGCAUGUUGAGCCUUUAUUAUAUAUUUUUCCUAUAAAUUAGUGUGUAACCAACAAGGCAGAGAGUGAGCUUUAGGAUUGUUUUUCAUUCAUAACGCUGUGAUUUUAAAAAUACUUUCUGAGCCAGUUUAACACUCUUAUGGAGAUAACACACUGUAUCCUUACAUACAUGUUUUGUGGUGUCAUUUUUAAUAAAUACUUUUUUUAUUUGA